CUACAGGCAAGGCGGAAGCGAAUACCACUUCUCCUGGCGCCACGACAACGGCCGGAAGUACCCCUGGGAACACGCGGUCCGGUACUGCUCCUCCCUCGGCCACGGCUGGAGCGGCAUCAGCAUCGAGACCCACGAGGAGGACCGAUCCGUCAGCAACAUCAUUACUGGGGACGGACUGGAGUACAUCUGGACGGGAGGUUAUCGCAGCGGCUACGACUUCGCUUGGCCCUCCAGAGCUCCGUUCGUCGGCCUGAACUGGUCCCAUACUGGAGCCACCGGCCACCCCCAACCGGACAACCGCGAGCAAGGGGGCGAGAACUGCCUGGCUGUCCUGAACAACUUCUACGACGACGGGGUCAGGUGGCACGACGUCGGCUGCCACCACGAGAAGCCCAUCAUCUGCGAACGCCAGGGACGCGUCUAUGGGUAAACGAAGAGGAUCGAACACUUUUUUUCUCUCUCUCGUUCGCGUUUAUAGAUGAAUGGAAAGGAUCGAACACUUUUUUUUCUCUCUCUCGUUCGUGUUUAUAGGUGAAAGAAGAGGAUCGAACACUUUUUAAUCUCUCUCGUUCGCGUUUAUAGGUGAAUAGAAAGGAUCGAACACUUUUUUUCUCUCUCUCGAUUGCGUCUAUAGGUGAAAGAAGAGGAUCGAACACUUUUUUCUCUCUCUCUCGGUUGCGUCUAUAGGUGAACGAAGAGGAUCGAACACUUUUUUUUUUUCUCUCUCUCUCGAUUGCGUCUAUAGGGAAAGAAGAGGAUCGAACACUUUUUUAAUCUCUCUCGUUCGCGUUUAUAGGUGAAUGUAAAGGAUCGAACACUUUUUUUCUCUCUCGAUUGCGUCUAUAGAUGAACGAAGAGAAUCGAACACCUCUAUUUCCUCAAGGCUUGUUUUUAAAAGGUUCGGAUGAGAAUGGAAUUUCGAACUGGAAAAAAUAUAUAUAUACAAAUGGAAAGUAAAAAUAUAUAGCUUAUCAUCACUAAAUUGAUUUUUCUUAAUCUUUUGUCCUGGAUUAUGAAAAAA
Penaeus vannamei (Pacific white shrimp) is the source of this 1021-nucleotide non-coding RNA. The record is from RefSeq and is a predicted model, not a curated record. NCBI's taxonomy places the organism in Eukaryota, Metazoa, Arthropoda, Malacostraca, Decapoda, Penaeidae.